This 73-nucleotide transfer RNA is filed under the name Sus scrofa (pig). It matches the Rfam family "tRNA". From Rfam's summary of the family: Transfer RNA (tRNA) molecules are approximately 80 nucleotides in length. Their secondary structure includes four short double-helical elements and three loops (D, anti-codon, and T loops). Lineage: Eukaryota; Metazoa; Chordata; Mammalia; Artiodactyla; Suidae. The record is from Rfam by way of RNAcentral.
UUCCUGGUAGCCUAGAGGUUAAGGCUUUAGUGCUGUCACCACUGUGGCUCAGGUUCAAUCCCUGGCCUGGGAA